RNAcentral lists this transfer RNA (78 nucleotides) under Cupriavidus phytohabitans. RNAcentral describes it as "Cupriavidus sp. AcVe19-1a tRNA-Lys". The stretch from base 10 to 70 matches the Rfam family "tRNA". Rfam says of the family: Transfer RNA (tRNA) molecules are approximately 80 nucleotides in length. Their secondary structure includes four short double-helical elements and three loops (D, anti-codon, and T loops). The record is from RNAcentral. Lineage: Bacteria; Pseudomonadati; Pseudomonadota; Betaproteobacteria; Burkholderiales; Burkholderiaceae.
GGGUCAACGGUCUGGAAGGGUAUUCAGUUCGGACUUUUAAUCCGUUGGUCGCGUGUUCGAGUCACGCACGACCCACCA